UCCCAGGUAGUCUAGUGCUUAAGACUCUGAGCUUCCACUACAGGGGAUAUGGGUUCAAUCCCUGGUCAGGGAA
RNAcentral lists this transfer RNA (73 nucleotides) under Bos taurus (domestic cattle). It matches the Rfam family "tRNA". From Rfam's summary of the family: Transfer RNA (tRNA) molecules are approximately 80 nucleotides in length. Their secondary structure includes four short double-helical elements and three loops (D, anti-codon, and T loops). Lineage: Eukaryota; Metazoa; Chordata; Mammalia; Artiodactyla; Bovidae. RNAcentral also lists the same sequence under 5 other names. The record is from Rfam by way of RNAcentral.